This 85-nucleotide ribosomal RNA is filed under the name Flavobacterium columnare. Its description in RNAcentral is "partial 23S ribosomal RNA". The record is from RNAcentral. Lineage: Bacteria; Pseudomonadati; Bacteroidota; Flavobacteriia; Flavobacteriales; Flavobacteriaceae.
GGGCGUUAGAAAUUUGAGUGGAUCUGACUCUAGUACGAGAGGACCGAGUUGACCAACCGCUGGUGUAUCUGUUGUUCCGCCAAGC